RNAcentral lists this ribosomal RNA (253 nucleotides) under uncultured bacterium. RNAcentral's name for it is "partial 16S ribosomal RNA". It matches the Rfam family "Bacterial small subunit ribosomal RNA", at positions 524 to 776 of the family's 1533-position model. The record is from RNAcentral.
GACAGAGGUGCCAAGCGUUAUCCGGAAUGAUUGGGCGUAAAGCGUCCGCAGGUGGCAGUUCAAGUCUGCUGUCAAAGACCGGGGCUUAACUUCGGAAAGGCAGUGGAAACUGAACAGCUAGAGUAUGGUAGGGGCAGAGGGAAUUCCUGGUGUAGCGGUGAAAUGCGUAGAGAUCAGGAAGAACAUCGGUGGCGAAGGCGCUCUGCUGGACCAUAACUGACACUCAGGGACGAAAGCUAGGGGAGCGAAUAGG